This 298-nucleotide long non-coding RNA is filed under the name Rattus norvegicus (Norway rat). RNAcentral describes it as "long non-coding RNA NONRATT001391". Lineage: Eukaryota; Metazoa; Chordata; Mammalia; Rodentia; Muridae. The record is from RNAcentral.
CAGAUGCUCUGCAUAGACAACUGUGGUGCGAGGGAGCUCAAAGCGCUCCAUCUGCUUCCUCAAUAUGAUGACCAGAGCAGCUUCCCACAAUCAGAGCUCCCUAAGCCAAUGACAACUUUAGUGGGAAGACUUCUGCCAGUACCAGCAAAGUUAAAUCUCAUCACACAGGUCGAUAACGGAGCUCUCCCAUCGGCUGUCAAUGGGGCUGCUUUUCCCUCCGGACCUGCUCUGCAAGGCCCACCCAAAAUAGCUCUGGCUGGGUAAGGAUUAAAAUCUGAGGCCACUGCCUUUGAUGCAA